Molecule: ribosomal RNA, 617 nt
Filed under: Streptomyces sp.
Lineage: Bacteria; Bacillati; Actinomycetota; Actinomycetes; Kitasatosporales; Streptomycetaceae
Description: bacterial SSU rRNA
Rfam family: Bacterial small subunit ribosomal RNA
Source: RNAcentral
CAAACAUCUCCAGGCGACGACGGGUAGCCGGCCUGAGAGGGCGACCGGCCACACUGGGACUGAGACACGGCCCAGACUCCUACGGGAGGCAGCAGUGGGGAAUAUUGCACAAUGGGCGAAAGCCUGAUGCAGCGACGCCGCGUGAGGGAUGACGGCCUUCGGGUUGUAAACCUCUUUCAGCAGGGAAGAAGCGAAAGUGACGGUACCUGCAGAAGAAGCGCCGGCUAACUACGUGCCAGCAGCCGCGGUAAUACGUAGGGCGCGAGCGUUGUCCGGAAUUAUUGGGCGUAAAGAGCUCGUAGGCGGCUUGUCACGUCGGUUGUGAAAGCCCGGGGCUUAACCCCGGGUCUGCAGUCGAUACGGGCAGGCUAGAGUUCGGUAGGGGAGAUCGGAAUUCCUGGUGUAGCGGUGAAAUGCGCAGAUAUCAGGAGGAACACCGGUGGCGAAGGCGGAUCUCUGGGCCGAUACUGACGCUGAGGAGCGAAAGCGUGGGGAGCGAACAGGAUUAGAUACCCUGGUAGUCCACGCCGUAAACGGUGGGCACUAGGUGUGGGCAACAUUCCACGUUGUCCGUGCCGCAGCUAACGCAUUAAGUGCCCCGCCUGGGGGAGUACGGA